GCCCUGGUAGUGUAGCCUGGCUCAGUAUUUUAAGGCUAAAAUGCUGUAGGAACUAUCAUGAAGCCCUGUCACGGCUUCGACCCGGGUUCAAAUCCCGGCCAGGGCG
RNAcentral lists this transfer RNA (106 nucleotides) under Candidatus Woesearchaeota archaeon. RNAcentral's name for it is "tRNA-Asp". It matches the Rfam family "tRNA". From Rfam's summary of the family: Transfer RNA (tRNA) molecules are approximately 80 nucleotides in length. Their secondary structure includes four short double-helical elements and three loops (D, anti-codon, and T loops). The record is from RNAcentral. Lineage: Archaea; Nanobdellati; Candidatus Woesearchaeota.